RNAcentral lists this ribosomal RNA (492 nucleotides) under uncultured bacterium. RNAcentral describes it as "partial 16S ribosomal RNA". It matches the Rfam family "Bacterial small subunit ribosomal RNA", at positions 29 to 507 of the family's 1533-position model. The record is from RNAcentral.
AGUGAACGCUGGCGGUAUGCCUAACACAUGCAAGUCGAACGGCAGCACAGUAAGAGCUUGCUCUUACGGGUGGCGAGUGGCGGACGGGUGAGGAAUACAUCGGAAUCUACUUUUUCGUGGGGGAUAACGUAGGGAAACUUACGCUAAUACCGCAUACGACCUACGGGUGAAAGCAGGGGAUCUUCGGACCUUGCGCGAUUGAAUGAGCCGAUGUCGGAUUAGCUAGUUGGCGGGGUAAAGGCCCACCAGGGCGACGAUCCGCAGCUGGUCUGAGAGGAGGGUCGCCCACACUGGAACUGGGACAGGGUCAAGGCUCCUACGGGAGGCAGCAGUGGGGAAUAUUAGACAACGGGCGCAAGCCUGAUCCAGCCAUCCCGCGUGGGUGAAGAAGGCCUUCGGGUUGUAAAGCCCUUUUGUUGGGAAAGAAAAGCAGCCGGUUAAUACCCCGCUGUUCUGACGGUACCCAAUGAAUAAGCACCGGCUAACUUCGUG